GACGAACGCUGGCGGCGUGCUUAACACAUGCAAGUCGAACGGAAAGGCCCCUUUGGGGGUACUCGAGUGGCGAACGGGUGAGUAACACGUGAGUAACCUGCCCUUGACUUCGGGAUAACUUCCGGAAACUGGGGCUAAUACCGGAUAGGAAUCCUUGCUGCAUGGUGGGGGUUGGAAAGCUUCGGCGGUUUUGGAUGGACUCGCGGCUUAUCAGCUUGGUGGUGGGGUAGUGGCUUACCUAGGCUUUCACGGGCAGCCGGCCUGAAGGGGGGACCGGCCACAUUGGGAAUGGAAAUGGGCCAAGACUCCUACGGGAGGCAGCAGGGGGGAAAAUUGCAAAAGGGGCGGAAGCCUGAUGCAGCAACGCCGCGUGCGGGGUGACGGCCUUCGGGUUGUAAACCGCUUUCAGCAGGGGCGAAGCUUGUGGUGACGGUACCUGCAGAAGAAGCACCGGCUAACUACGUG
This 465-nucleotide ribosomal RNA is filed under the name uncultured bacterium. Its description in RNAcentral is "partial 16S ribosomal RNA". It matches the Rfam family "Bacterial small subunit ribosomal RNA", at positions 28 to 507 of the family's 1533-position model. The record is from RNAcentral.